CGAGUCCCGGCCGAGCGCUGAC
RNAcentral lists this microRNA (22 nucleotides) under Ixodes ricinus (castor bean tick). Its description in RNAcentral is "iri-miR-X13-3p". Lineage: Eukaryota; Metazoa; Arthropoda; Arachnida; Ixodida; Ixodidae. The record is from RNAcentral.